CGGCACUUCUUGAUUGCCCAGUAGAUCGCCAAAGCUUCCAGCUCUAAAAUAGCGUAUCUACUCUCUGCAUCUUUCAAGAACCGGGAUCCGCAUUGAAUAAGUCGCCACUCACCCUCAUGGAGCUGCAUAAGCGCAAAACCCAGACCUUUCAAUUUCGAUGCGUCUGUCUGAAGGAUGGUUUCGGCCCCAAGUUGGAACAUUCCCAAAAUAGGAGGAGAGCAAAUCUCUGAGGGGCUCAGCAUUGUGAGCGAUCUCGCUCGAAAAUUGACCCAACUGGUUAACAAGACCCAUGAACGAUCUCAGGUCUUGGCGAUCCUCUGGGCAGGGGAAUCUCGAGAUGGCUGCAACUUUCUCGGGAUCGGCCUUAAUACUAUCGCGAGAUAUACGAUAUCCGACAAAAUCGAUCUCUUCGGCCCCGCCAAUAACGCUCUUCUUGGCAUUGACAGUCAUGCCGAAACGGACACAACGUUCCAGAAUCUCACAGGUGAUCACCAUAGGAUCACCCACGAUUGGACCGCGCAUGGGUUUCAAACUUGAAUCGUCAAAUGCCGUACUGUAAAUGGACUUAAGUUUGGAUUCAACGUUCAUGAAGUCUUCCCUAGAAGGCAAAGAAGAAAUCAUUGGUUGUGGAAAAUUGGGUCCAACAAUACCCAGGGCUCGACAAGCAUCUAAACUCAGAUACGAGUCGUCAACAUCAUAGCUGACGACUAUUGUUACGUCAUGGGCCUUAUGAUCCUCAUCUAGAGACAAAUUAGCUCGGAACGAACCUACCAAGCUAAGAGAUCGACCAUCAACACCAGAAAUGACGGAGUUUGACGAACGUUGAUCUAGAGUGCGCAGAAUUGAAGGCUGACCGACUUGGACAAUUUGUGGGGACUCUUUUGACGGCAGACGGGUUGCCAAUGCCCAGUACUACCACACGCAUGGCAAGACGAUUUCAAUGCCGGACAAUCCUCACGAGAAUGGGUCUUGGAAAGACCACACAGCGGGCACUGCUCGGAUGACUUGGUCACAUGGACAACUUGAUCAAGAACUCCCACGGUUAAAGAUGAAGACUGGUGACUGAAAUCGCGUGCACCCCGUCUAGCAGUCUCAAGUUCAAGUAUACACUUGCGGGCUUCAUUGAAUGUUGAGGGAUUGCGUUCCAUAACCUUGGCCUUAUCGGAGUCAUUCUUCAUCCCCUGUAACAAGAGUGCAAUGAGAAGACGAUCCUCGGUGAUCUUGGCUGCAUCAGCAUAAUCUGCCAACUCUCGAAGGGAGUUACAGAAAGAUAUAAUCCUGACCCUCCUUCUGUCUCACAGCCAAAAGGUCUCGCAUAUCGAGGUGAAUAUUUCGGAGACUGCAAAGGUGCUCCUCAAUUAGGUCCAAAAUCUCGACCACCGUACGACCGGUAUUGGUUUUGAUCCCAAGUGAAUGUUGGAUGAUUCUUAAAAAUCCCGAAGAACAACAUUCCCAGAAGAGUCCAACCUGGUAACGGAGGUUUCUUCGCAUCUAAUCGAGGAAGAGAUAAGGUCUGCCCAGACUCACGAGAGGGAUGAGGUCGAUGCUCACCCGCUGCUCGGAGCAGUGAAGCUUCGACAUCACGUUGAAAACCGAUCAAUUUGGAUUGGGCUUUGAAAAGAGCCUCGAGGUGUUCCUCUACAGCUGUAUCUGCAUCUUUGGAAUCAGAUGAUAUAUGUCAUACGACCUGAUCUUCGGCUUAUUCGGCCAGAUUCCUAGCCCGUGAAAGAGCUGCCUUGAAGCCUUUACGACUGGCUUUCAAGACCUGGACGGCCUCACGAUCGGACAUGCUGAGGAUUCGAGACGGGAACCACUGGAAAUCCACAAAUCAACACCACGAUGGCACGGGAUGGAUUGGAUCCAAGGAUGAUCACGUACAAAUAACCGACCACACAACCCGAAGUCUCAGAUCAGGGAUAGCCGUAGACGGAACGUACAUUUAAGAGUUCGUACAGACCGACUGCGCCAUCGCAUGAUCGUAUUGAGUGGACAAAAGCGGAGGACACAUAGAUCGAGUAAAGGUUCAGAUGGAAGUGUAUUUUUCGUUUAGACAUGCUCAGAAGUAAACGUCAAUCAUAACUCGCAUGACAACAUCACAACAUACCACAGAGGAUACCCCGCGUCGUGUUGCAACCAGGUAACCUAAGCAGCGGCAGGUUACACUUGCCGUUGACGAUAGCAAGGGCAGCUCAAAUUUAUUUUUGAAAUUUACAAACCGUUGCCACUCCCCUUCGUACUGAUUUCCAAUGGACUCUGUAGUGGAAGCACGAUCCAAGGUAGCACAAACGAUGUCGUCGCCAAGUAAAGACACACUCUUGAAUGAAUGUGAAAUCCUCCGAUGGGCAACAAGAGGAAGGGGUAUUUUCUUGAAGCUUGAAUCCUCGACAAGGAGGACUUUCACUCUCUGCCCAACGUUCCACUGCCGCUGUGCAACAUCCUUCGUCCAAAGCCACUGAUGAAGGUUGCGGACAAUAGUCUACAAAGCACCAAAGAACAUAUAAAACAGGUCAAUUUUGACCUUAAUGACUGCUUGCAAAAACUCACGUGGAUUGGGAAAAGAUAUGCAAAAGUCUUUAGUGUUUGGACAGUCAAUCCAGUUGUUGUUCACACAUUUUGAUGGAUUAUCUUCGUAUUGCAAGGAUUGUGAUCGAUUGGUCACAGAAAAUGUGCGGCAGCAUUUUCGCCCGUAGUCAAAUGCCCAUGGAAAUUCAGGUGCACAAAAAUCAGCCACUGCAAUAGGAAAAUAGAUUUUGAUUCAAUUCACGUCAUUUUAUUUCCUUCAAGUCUAAAAUAAAAAAAUGUUUUGAAAAAGUGA
Tigriopus californicus is the source of this 2815-nucleotide long non-coding RNA. RefSeq lists it as uncharacterized. Lineage: Eukaryota; Metazoa; Arthropoda; Copepoda; Harpacticoida; Harpacticidae. The record is from RefSeq and is a predicted model, not a curated record. The transcript has 10 exons.